Molecule: ribosomal RNA, 301 nt
Filed under: uncultured bacterium
Lineage: Bacteria
Description: partial 16S ribosomal RNA
Rfam family: Bacterial small subunit ribosomal RNA
Source: RNAcentral
CAGUAGCCGCGGUAACACGGAGGGGGCUAGCGUUGUUCGGAAUUACUGGGCGUAAAGCGCGCGUAGGCGGUUACUCAAGUCAGAGGUGAAAGCCCGGGGCUCAACCCCGGAACUGCCUUUGAAACUAGGUGACUAGAAUCUUGGAGAGGUCAGUGGAAUUCCGAGUGUAGAGGUGAAAUUCGUAGAUAUUCGGAAGAACACCAGUGGCGAAGGCGACUGACUGGACAAGUAUUGACGCUGAGGUGCGAAAGCGUGGGGAGCAAACAGGAUUAGAUACCCGAGUAGUCCCUGUCUCUUAUAC